UAUCUGGUUGAUCCUGCCAGUAGUCAUAUGCUUGUCUCAAAGAUUAAGCCAUGCACGUGUGGGAAUAUGUCUUUAAAUGACGAAUCUGUGAACGGCUCAUUAAAAAAGUUUUUGUCUCUUCGGUGAUGGAAUUUACAUGGAUAACCGUGGUAAUUCUACAGCUAAUACAUGCCCCUAGACUCGACUUCGUGGAAGGGUCGUGAUUGUUAGAUACAGAACCAACCCAAGCUUGCUUGGUUUUUUGGUGACUUAUAAUAAUCGAACGAAUCGCAUAGCAACCGCUGGCGAUAGACCGAAUGAGAUUCUUACCUAUCAGCUUCCGACGGUAGUGUAUUGGACUACCGUGGCCAUGACGGGUAACGGAGAAUUAGGGUUUGAUUCCGGAGAGGGAGCCCGAGAAACGGCUACCACAUCUAAGGAAGGCAGCAGGCGCGUAAAUUACCCAAUCCUGACAUAGGGAGGUAGUGACAAGAAAUAACAGUACGGGGCAUUAUUGUCUUGUAACUGGAAUGGAUAGAAUUUAAAUCUCUUUAUGAGUAUCUAUUGUAGGGCAAGUCUGGUGCCAGCAGCCCGCGGUAAUUCAGCUACAAAAGCGUAUAUUAAAGUUGUUGCGGUUAAAAGCUCGUAGUGGAUUUCUGUUGGGGACGACCUUUCCGCUCUCUGGUGGAUUCCUGGCUCGCCUUUGCAUCUAUGUUGAAACGUUCUUGACUUCAUUG
This 716-nucleotide ribosomal RNA is filed under the name uncultured marine eukaryote. Its description in RNAcentral is "SSU rRNA". It matches the Rfam family "Eukaryotic small subunit ribosomal RNA", at positions 1 to 721 of the family's 1831-position model. The record is from RNAcentral.